Molecule: long non-coding RNA, 909 nt
Organism: Alligator mississippiensis (American alligator)
Lineage: Eukaryota; Metazoa; Chordata; Crocodylia; Alligatoridae
Exons: 2
Source: RefSeq, a predicted model, not a curated record
GAGGCGCCUCCCCCGUGCUGCGCCGACCGCCAGACCGCCGGGAUGCGGCUGGCGCGGGCCGCGCCGCACGCCCCCCUUGCCCCCUCGUCCGUGUCCGCCUCACAGCCCAGCCCUGCCCGCCACGGCGCCCCGCACACGGACCCUGCGCCCCGACCCGCCGCUGUCCUCCCCAGGGCGCCUGUGGUGCAGCCUACUCCGCCCCGUGCCCCCGUCCUCCACCGUGCCCCACUGCCCCUCACAGCUUCCUGCACCCCCAGCCCCUCACACGGUCCAAUGCACCCCCAGCCGCUCCACAGUGCACCCCCACACACACUGCGCACACCCCUCUCGGGCAGCAUCACGCAGACAGCGCUCCUGGGGCAUAGUUUGUUUUGGACAAGUAUCUUUCUCUCCGGUCCUGCCAUUGCAUUAGCAGCGUGACCACCUCAUAAACUUCAUUGCAUUUAUCCGCUGAAAUUUACGCCCUGAAAUUUCAAAUGUGUUAGUGUUAAUGAGGUUUUUAAAAUUGUGGAGAUUCAUAGAUUGUAAGGGAAGGGACCUUGGAAGAUCACCGGGUCCAGCCCCCUGCACCAAACGGGCAGAUGACCCCAGCGAGGUGACCACCCAGUCUCCUCUUGAAGAUUUCCAGGGGUGUUUUCAGCACAUUCUUGGCAACAGAGACCAUAUGAGAAGGGGACAAGAUUCUGUGGGAGUCGACAUUUACAGGGAAAGAAGAGUUGCCCAUCGCUACUCUCUGGGUCUUAUUGGAAUGGAGUGAUUGGUGUGUAGCCUGGCAGUGCUAUAUUCCCACACGCACCUGUAACUCGCAUGCAUAUGCAAAAUUCCCAAACUUGGACAAACUCUGAACUCUGACCUACCUUACUGACAUGUACAUACAGCGUAUCUUAAAAAUAAAAGUAUGCACACUUG